This 333-nucleotide long non-coding RNA is filed under the name Anser brachyrhynchus (Pink-footed goose). RNAcentral's name for it is "lncRNA (ENSABRG00000014785.1)". Lineage: Eukaryota; Metazoa; Chordata; Aves; Anseriformes; Anatidae. The record is from RNAcentral.
AUGGCAAGAUGGAGCACGCAUCUGAGGGAGGGAAGGGUUGUACCUGGUAUUUUCCACAGCCCCCGGAGUGCAGCUGUACCCAUUUACCGCCUUUGGUUCACUAGCACCUGGGGAGAGGACAGAAGCACAAUGACCGUGUGCCUCAGGAACAGGACAGCAAGGACUUCCACCCGCAGGUCAGCCUGGAUACUGCAGCCGAGGGGUGUCCUGAGCUUUGUGGCAGAACCAGCCAGAGCAGCAGGUGAAUCCUGGGACCCAGUUCAGAUCAUCAGUAUUUGCCGUCUGGGCCCUUCCACCUGUAGUUCACCAGCUGAAACCAUCCCAACAGCGUGA